UUCAUGUCGGGGGUGUUUGUG
This 21-nucleotide microRNA is filed under the name Meleagrid alphaherpesvirus 1 (Turkey herpesvirus). RNAcentral's name for it is "hvt-miR-H16-5p". Its record names the gene hvt-miR-H16-5p. Lineage: Duplodnaviria; Heunggongvirae; Peploviricota; Herviviricetes; Herpesvirales; Orthoherpesviridae. The record is from miRBase by way of RNAcentral.